RNAcentral lists this ribosomal RNA (446 nucleotides) under uncultured bacterium. Its description in RNAcentral is "partial 16S ribosomal RNA". It matches the Rfam family "Bacterial small subunit ribosomal RNA", at positions 338 to 795 of the family's 1533-position model. The record is from RNAcentral.
CCUACGGGAGGCUGCAGUCGAGAAUCAUUCACAAUGGGGGAAACCCUGAUGGUGCGACGCCGCGUGGGGGAAUGAAGGUCUUCGGAUUGUAAACCCCUGUCAUGUGGGAGCAAAUUAAAAAGAUAGUACCACAAGAGGAAGAGACGGCUAACUCUGUGCCAGCAGCCGCGGUAAUACAGAGGUCUCAAGCGUUGUUCGGAAUCACUGGGCGUAAAGCGUGCGUAGGCUGUUUCGUAAGUCGUGUGUGAAAGGUGCGGGCUCAACCCGCGGACGGCACAUGAUACUGGGAGACUAGAGUAAUGGAGGGGGAACCGGAAUUCUCGGUGUAGCAGUGAAAUGCGUAGAUAUCGAGAGGAACACUCGUGGCGAAGGCGGGUUCCUGGACAUUAACUGACGCUGAGGCAUGAAGGCCAGGGGAGCGAAAGGGAUUAGAUACCCUGGUAGUC